Molecule: ribosomal RNA, 348 nt
Filed under: Triticum aestivum (bread wheat)
Lineage: Eukaryota; Viridiplantae; Streptophyta; Magnoliopsida; Poales; Poaceae
Description: partial small subunit ribosomal RNA
Source: RNAcentral
AUGAUGGCGGGAAGAAACUUUCAUGACCCACUUAACGACCCACGGAAGGGGAUGGUCGAUCAGGCUUGGGCAAUGUUGAAAGGCUGGGGAAAGACCGUGGCUAUACUUCCUGACAACCGGUGCCAACGCCAUCCAGUCUGGAAUGUGCCCGCCACUCCGGCCAGCAAUCCGACCUCUACUGCGACGAAUUUAACAGCAAGCUACUGCAGUCACUGCCCGCACUGCCAGCGGGAGAAAGCAACGGCAAGUCUUCAACAGCAGCAGCAGCAGGCACCCGCAAGGUUUUCUCGUGCUCUGGAUUCUCUAUUUCCUUUUGAGAAUGCUCUACAGUACAGGUUCCUCGCUUGA